RNAcentral lists this ribosomal RNA (467 nucleotides) under uncultured bacterium. RNAcentral describes it as "bacterial SSU rRNA". It matches the Rfam family "Bacterial small subunit ribosomal RNA", at positions 329 to 793 of the family's 1533-position model. The record is from RNAcentral.
UACUCGACUCCUACGGGAGGCAGCAGUGAGGAAUAUUGGUCAAUGGAGGCAACUCUGAACCAGCCAUGCCGCGUGAAGGAAGAAUGUCCUAUGGAUUGUAAACUUCUUUUAUUUGGGAAGAAACCCCUCUACGUGUAGAGGGCUGACGGUACCAAAAGAAUAAGGACCGGCUAACUCCGUGCCAGAAGCCGCGGUAAUACGGAGGGUCCAAGCGUUAUCCGGAAUCAUUGGGUUUAAAGGGUUCGCAGGCGGUUUAAUAAGUCAGUGGUGAAAUCCCGUAGCUCAACUACGGAACUGCCAUUGAUACUGUUAGACUUGAAUACAGUUGGAGUAGGCGGAAUGUGUAGUGUAGCGGUGAAAUGCUUAGAUAUUACACAGAACACCGAUAGCGAAGGCAGCUUACUAAACUGAGAUUGACGCUCAUGAACGAAAGCGUGGGGAGCGAACAGGAUUAGAUACCCUGGUAG